This 1644-nucleotide ribosomal RNA is filed under the name Escherichia coli. RNAcentral's name for it is "partial 23S ribosomal RNA". It matches the Rfam family "Bacterial large subunit ribosomal RNA", at positions 1291 to 2915 of the family's 2925-position model. Lineage: Bacteria; Pseudomonadati; Pseudomonadota; Gammaproteobacteria; Enterobacterales; Enterobacteriaceae. The record is from RNAcentral.
CGAAUGCUGACAUAAGUAACGAUAAAGCGGGUGAAAAGCCCGCUCGCCGGAAGACCAAGGGUUCCUGUCCAACGUUAAUCGGGGCAGGGUGAGUCGACCCCUAAGGCGAGGCCGAAAGGCGUAGUCGAUGGGAAACAGGUUAAUAUUCCUGUACUUGGUGUUACUGCGAAGGGGGGACGGAGAAGGCUAUGUUGGCCGGGCGACGGUUGUCCCGGUUUAAGCGUGUAGGCUGGUUUUCCAGGCAAAUCCGGAAAAUCAAGGCUGAGGCGUGAUGACGAGGCACUACGGUGCUGAAGCAACAAAUGCCCUGCUUCCAGGAAAAGCCUCUAAGCAUCAGGUAACAUCAAAUCGUACCCCAAACCGACACAGGUGGUCAGGUAGAGAAUACCAAGGCGCUUGAGAGAACUCGGGUGAAGGAACUAGGCAAAAUGGUGCCGUAACUUCGGGAGAAGGCACGCUGAUAUGUAGGUGAAGUCCCUCGCGGAUGGAGCUGAAAUCAGUCGAAGAUACCAGCUGGCUGCAACUGUUUAUUAAAAACACAGCACUGUGCAAACACGAAAGUGGACGUAUACGGUGUGACGCCUGCCCGGUGCCGGAAGGUUAAUUGAUGGGGUCAGCGCAAGCGAAGCUCUUGAUCGAAGCCCCGGUAAACGGCGGCCGUAACUAUAACGGUCCUAAGGUAGCGAAAUUCCUUGUCGGGUAAGUUCCGACCUGCACGAAUGGCGUAAUGAUGGCCAGGCUGUCUCCACCCGAGACUCAGUGAAAUUGAACUCGCUGUGAAGAUGCAGUGUACCCGCGGCAAGACGGAAAGACCCCGUGAACCUUUACUAUAGCUUGACACUGAACAUUGAGCCUUGAUGUGUAGGAUAGGUGGGAGGCUUUGAAGUGUGGACGCCAGUCUGCAUGGAGCCGACCUUGAAAUACCACCCUUUAAUGUUUGAUGUUCUAACGUUGACCCGUGAUCCGGGUUGCGGACAGUGUCUGGUGGGUAGUUUGACUGGGGCGGUCUCCUCCUAAAGAGUAACGGAGGAGCACGAAGGUUGGCUAAUCCUGGUCGGACAUCAGGAGGUUAGUGCAAUGGCAUAAGCCAGCUUGACUGCGAGCGUGACGGCGCGAGCAGGUGCGAAAGCAGGUCAUAGUGAUCCGGUGGUUCUGAAUGGAAGGGCCAUCGCUCAACGGAUAAAAGGUACUCCGGGGAUAACAGGCUGAUACCGCCCAAGAGUUCAUAUCGACGGCGGUGUUUGGCACCUCGAUGUCGGCUCAUCACAUCCUGGGGCUGAAGUAGGUCCCAAGGGUAUGGCUGUUCGCCAUUUAAAGUGGUACGCGAGCUGGGUUUAGAACGUCGUGAGACAGUUCGGUCCCUAUCUGCCGUGGGCGCUGGAGAAUUGAGGGGGGCUGCUCCUAGUACGAGAGGACCGGAGUGGACGCAUCACUGGUGUUCGGGUUGUCAUGCCAAUGGCACUGCCCGGUAGCUAAAUGCGGAAGAGAUAAGUGCUGAAAGCAUCUAAGCACGAAACUUGCCCCGAGAUGAGUUCUCCCUGACUCCUUGAGAGUCCUGAAGGAACGUUGAAGACGACGACGUUGAUAGGCCGGGUGUGUAAGCGCAGCGAUGCGUUGAGCUAACCGGUACUAAUGAACCGUGAG